Long non-coding RNA from Pezoporus flaviventris, 2850 nucleotides. RefSeq lists it as uncharacterized. NCBI's taxonomy places the organism in Eukaryota, Metazoa, Chordata, Aves, Psittaciformes, Psittacidae. The transcript has 3 exons. The record is from RefSeq and is a predicted model, not a curated record.
UUGCCAUGGGACUAAGGAAAUAUAGUAGCGCUUAAUUUUAAUAGUUCCAUCAUUGUAGAUUGGCUGGGUAUUAAUUGUGUUAAUGGUGAUCAUACUGAAUUCAUUUGGUAUUUAUUGAGAGACCACCUGUGCACCCAUAUGGUUUCCAUCAUUAUUUAGGAGUAGUUAAUGGACCCAUUAGGAGUUAGCAGAAAGAUGUGGGCUGGCAAUACUUCCCGAGAGUGGUAGAAACAUUCUGCUGAUAUCCAUUGCGUUUUGAGGAUUUUCCAAGGAGCUAUUUGCUUCCCACCAAUUUUCCUUCUCUCUAAGUUCCACAUAAUCUCAUCUUAGCUUUCAAAUGCUCCUGGAAAAAUGAAUUCAUGUUUCUUGGCCUCUCACAAACCUAGGGGGGCAACCUUUAGCCUUCUGAUCUUGCAAAACGUCCUUUAACAUGGUCCACACAGCUGAGGCUGCACCUGAAAUGCAAAAGCAUCUCCAAGCCUUACCUCCUGCUUUAUUCAGUAGCAAAGCACUGAAAGGACUGGAAACAAAGCAAGUUGAAGCUCUUUUCAAAGGUGUUGAAAACCCUUGCAGCAUCUCUUUUAAGCUAAGAUGAGCAGACAGUAGAUCUUCCUAGAAAUCCACACUGAAGCUGCUCUGUCCUGUAUGGAAAAGCAUUCAAUCACAUCUUCCACCUACAUGUGUUUUUAGUGGAAAUCCAUUACUUCCUUUUGAUGUGCUUUUGGGGUGUAAACAACAAUAAUGAAAACAAGACUCUGAAGGCAGUUUCCCUGUGUGAAGCAAGGCCUACCCAAGUGACAGAGAAGCCAAAGAGAGCAUUUUGAGAUUAUUCCAGUUCCAAAUGGAAAUUCAGCAAAUGAGAAGUGUUUGCAUACGUGCUGAACAUCGUGUGAAAGCUGGAUGCUGUAGGGGCUGUCUCUAAGGCCACAUAGCUGUUCCCAAACAGUAGCUCUGUGUUUAGAGGUCAGUGCUGCACUUAGCAAGCUCCUGUGCAGGGAUCUGUAUGAAAGAGGCUGUACGUCUUCCAUACUUGCAGCACUGGUACUGGGGCACCCAAAGGUGACAGGAGAAAGCUGCACACCUGUGGGGUGGUCAGGAUGCUCCGUCUCUGCAGGAAAAUGCAGAAGAGGAACUGAACUGCUUGGGGUAGGUCUACACCACCAGUUAACAACAGAUUUAGGCAUGUUGUGUCCAGCUGUCUGUGUGUGUUCCACACACACUGCUCAGUCACACAGCAUAGGAAAGAUUUCCCCCAGCCUUUGAUAUCUCCUGUGUCUAAAUACAUUUGAGUAACCAAUGUAAGCCUCUGUGCAGACACAACACUUGAGCUAGCUGGCUAGUGUGGCCUUGUUUAUAGCUAUUAGUGGGCAGAGAGGAGUGCUGCUAAAGCAUGACUCUUCUGACCUGCUUUAGAGGGUCCUUCUUAGAAGCAGAUAGGAACCCUAGAAAUGCUUGUUCUUCUCCUUUGAUUAUACACCGCAAUUAGCUCAGCAGCAGAUACCUGAGGUUUAAUGGAACCUGAGGUUUAAUGAACCCCAACUGCACUGAGGACACUCAGACGCAGAAAGAUAUUGCACAUGGUCAGGGUAUAAAGCUCUUCCAUGAAAGGUCAUAGACCUUUGGAGACAGACACUGGGUGCAGCCAGGUUCACUCCUGCCCUGUAUGAGGGAUCAGGCUGAGGCCAGCAUGUACUAUGGCUGGUCCAGCCACAGACCGUGAUGCUGGGCUAAGCACUCCUUUUUAUGUGGCUUGUGCAUUAACAUGGCAAGGAUGGAAAGAUCUAAUCCUGAGACUGGGUGUGAGCCUACACUUUCCUGACAAUCUUCAAGGUCUUUUCCAACCUAGCUGAUUCUCUGAUUCUGUGACAGCACAGAAUAUUCCUGAGCCACGUGGAGCCAGUGACACACAGCUUCACACAGGGGUUUGCCUACAAAUGGGGUCUAGCUUCGAGCUGGUGAUAUUUAGUACUGAAAUAGAGGGUGAUCUCUGUCACAAAGCUUGGGAAACAGAAGACAUGAAUAUGUGAGUCACACAUGCAGCACGGAUCUGAGAAUCUAUUGACACAAGAACUAGCUUUAAAACAUGGAGUAUCCAAAUAUUACAGAAUGGAGAAGUCAUACUGUGGCAUAGCAAAUUCCAGCCAGUAAGUGUUCAAUUUAGGAUAAUACUGAAAAGUCUGACCUCAGUUUUACCCAUGCAGUGUCAGUGUUCCAGUACAAACCAAGAGUUAUUUACAGUGGUGCCCUGGGAGAGAUGGGAUCUUCUGGGACUUUCUGGCUGCCACUGAUGUACAGUGACUAUUUGGGUUAGAAACAGUAUGCCUGGACCACUAGGCUGUAGGUCAUAAUACCAAAGAUAUUGCUGUCUUUUUGAUUGCGCUUAUUUCCCCUUAACAUAGGACAAACCCUUUUACCUCCUUGUGUCUCCAUCCAGCUCUUGUCUAUUCAGCUAGCCUGGGCACAGCUUAGCUGCAGCAAGCAACAGGUGAUUUUGUUACCCGAAUUGGGUGAUCUCUAAAAUUAAAGGGUCAAUCAGACCUUUGAAUCUGAAAGACAGCAUUUCUAUUUCGGGAGGAAAAAAACUUUUUGGAGAUGGGUUGCAAAGCCACAUCUCAAAUUCUCCAAGUUUCCAUCUAAUUCAGGCUCAGGUUUUUAGCUCAAGCACAUCUGGAACUAUUCCUCCUUCAAACAUGUGGUACAUGUCCUAGAAGAAAGUAUUUUUAAACAAAAUAGUAAUAAGAAAAGGCCCCAGACCAGGAGCAACCCUCUGCUUUUCCACAGAAGCAAGGCAGGGCUGCUACCCAGGGCAGUGCCAACAAAAGCCCAAAACAAAGUUAUGUAAUAAUGACA